This 163-nucleotide small nuclear RNA is filed under the name Carlito syrichta (Philippine tarsier). RNAcentral's name for it is "U1 spliceosomal RNA (ENSTSYG00000031964.1)". It matches the Rfam family "U1 spliceosomal RNA". Rfam says of the family: U1 is a small nuclear RNA (snRNA) component of the spliceosome (involved in pre-mRNA splicing). Lineage: Eukaryota; Metazoa; Chordata; Mammalia; Primates; Tarsiidae. The record is from Rfam by way of RNAcentral.
AUACUUACUGGGCAGGGGAGAUGCCGCGAUCACAAAGGCGGUUUUCCCAGGGCGAGGCUUAUCCAUCGCACUCCGGAUGUGCCGACCCCUGUGAUUUCCCCAAAUGUGGGAAACUCAACUGCAUGAUUUGUGGCAGCGGGGACUGCGUUCGCACUUGCCCGAA